GUUUACUCUCAUUCUAACUCUCUCAUUUUUGCAGCGCUCCCUCGUUCUCCCUUUCUUCUUCCUCUCCUUCCUCCUACGAAAACUAAUCCCUGAACUUUUAUUUUUCUGCCUUCCUGAGUCUCACCUAUGAUUCUUUCUCACUCUCUCUUCUAAAACUCGAAACCCUAGCCCCUUUCUUUUGAUCUCUUCUUUUUGCUUCUUGAUCUCUUUGCAAUUUUGAAAACUUGAACCCUCAAAUCUCCAACCCUUUGAAACUUCACCAUCCUCUGCUCACUAGUUUCUGAAUCAAUUUAUGGAGAUCUAAAAGGUCUUUUGGCCUCCCCUAAGUGGUUUAGCUUUGACAUCCCGAGAGGACUCGACUGAGACAUGGUGAUGUUUGAACCCACGCAGAUAAGUUCCUCCCGCUCUCUUUCUUUGUUUUGGUUAUUCAUAUUUAUUUAUUUUUUGCUCUUUCUUGAAAUUAUGGUUGUGGAGUAUUGUGUUUUGUGUUGAAAGUGUUGCUCGAAUCUUUCGGAUCUAGGGUUUUUGGUUUAGUUGGGGUUGAUGGUUCACGGUGAAGCACUCAACGAGUUAAGGUGUGAGUGAAAGGGAGUUGACUCAGGUGAGUCACUAGUGUGUGUUUGUGUGACACAGAUACAACCAAGUGAGCCACGUGGGCUCUGUCAUGUGCUCGACUCAUGUGUGGAUCCUUGUUGCGUGCUUGAAUGGAUUGGGCUUGAGUCAAAUGGGUCGGGAUUUUCUUCUUUAAGGAGAGAACCGGGUUUAAAAGGGCCGGCCCGCUUCGUAAACUAGGUCUGGGUUUAUUUAAAAUGGCACGGCCCAUUUGCUUUUUAAGAAAAAAAGAGCUUAGGUCUUUUAAAAAAGGGCCAUCUCAGCUUUGAUUUAAAACAGGCCCGAUAUUUUUGAAAAUUAAAAUGGGCCUGGUAUUUUGAUAAUUCGAGAUGGGCCAGGUUUGUUUUAAAAAACCAGUGGACUUCGGGGUCAGUUUUUUUUUAAAAUUGGGCUGAUUUUAAAAUCUUGGAAGUGGGCUUGGUCGUUUGGGGAGAUCUGAAUGGGAGUUCGGAUUUCAAGUUAGACAUAGUCCGGGUCCGAUGACCCAGUUCAAGGGUUACUUAGUUAGGUUUGAGAGCUUGAACCCGAGUUUGGAUUCAGGUUUAAAAAGAGAUGGGUAUGGGUCUGAGUAAAACUUGAGUUCAGGUUUUUAGUGGUCACCUGAACACUGAGGGGGGUACCUGCACUUACUUAUCAUACAAGAAUUGAACAAUUUCAGCGGGUCCUUGAAUUACACCUUCUUCUUAUCACUCCUUCUUCUUCAAUUCUCCCUCUUUUGGUUAUCUGCUCUGGUGUUUGGUCUAAUGACUGGUCUCCAAACCUCAGCGAUUCUGAGUUUUUCUUUUACUAUUUUCACUGUAUGUUGCAGAACUUCUUUUUGCUAUUAAUUUAACAAAACCUCACCCUUUCUUUAUGAUUUUCUCUCUCAAAUUCAACAGAACCCCCCCUCUACCUUUAUUUAUGCUUUCCUCACUUCUCUCAAUUUCACCAGGGCUUCCCUACUAUCUGAGGGGGUGUCUUUACAGUGUGUAAUAGCUCCCUAUUUAUAAGGAGCCCAGGGGCCUCUUGGCGCCAAACUCUCCCCAUCCUAACGUGAACAUUGGGGAACCCAGGUGGCAUGUAGGAGGGCUUAGAAUCUUGGCCCGGUGGCACCUCGGGGAUAGAGGGCAAAGCAUCUGCUAGGCCUUUUAUUUUUGUAAUUAGUGUAUUCUCCAGUAUACCCCACAUGGUUUUGUAUUGAAAUCAUUGUGUCAUUUUCAUUUUAUUUCCAUGUAUUUUAUUUUCUGUAUUUUUUAUUUUUAUUUUUUUCAUUUUCUGCAUGUGUGUACUCUAUAUAAAAGUUGGGGCACGGGUCCCUCAUGUGAUAUCA
This is a long non-coding RNA of Malania oleifera, 1921 nucleotides long. RefSeq lists it as uncharacterized. The transcript is spliced from 2 exons. The record is from RefSeq and is a predicted model, not a curated record. NCBI's taxonomy places the organism in Eukaryota, Viridiplantae, Streptophyta, Magnoliopsida, Santalales, Ximeniaceae.